Molecule: long non-coding RNA, 361 nt
Organism: Macadamia integrifolia
Lineage: Eukaryota; Viridiplantae; Streptophyta; Magnoliopsida; Proteales; Proteaceae
Exons: 3
Source: RefSeq, a predicted model, not a curated record
AUGUGUUGAUGUCGAUACCUUAUGGUACAUGAAUGCAAGGGUGACGUCAAAUGCAGGGUAGCCAAGUAAGGUUGAGCCAGUACCUGAGAUGAUCCACACACCAAAGCCGUGCCCUUACACAUAUCACAAGGCCAUAUAUGAAUAGGCAAGAAAAGUUUGGUCAGUGGAGUAAAGAAGAGGGAGAAAAGAGGAAGAAGGAGAGAAGGAAGAGGGAAGAGGCUUUCACCUUGGAUUUCGGAGCCGCAUCUUACCUUUUCGUCAUCAGAAUAGUGUCCGGUGUCUUGAGAUCUACAUCUUGAGGUUUCAAGAAAUUCAUCUUCUCACUUCGGAUCUUACCCGUGCAGCGAGUGCAGAUUCUUCC